CAGCAGGAGGGGAGGAUCCACCAACUUUCCGAGAGACAUUCUUGAAGUAUGCCAGAUAAAACAGCAUGACAGUGUAUAUAUACACAGGCAGCCUCACACAUGUCAAGGUGCAAUCCCCCUGAGAUUUACAAUGCCCUCCCCUUUUAUAAUCAGGAAAGCGUGGUAAACCUGUUUUACUUCUGCAACUUGUAUAUUCUACAAACGAAGAUGUCUGCAUCACAAAUGACAUUUGAAUUCUUAGGAAAAGAGAGAAGAAGGAACAGGGAAGAGGAGAGGGGCUGACAGGAGGAGAAGAGACACACUUGUGACCGGGAGUGGGAGAUUUUAUGAAGGUUGAACUUUAAUUCUUAAUUACAGAUAUAAUUUCCUGCACAAAGUGUGUUAAUUUGUCCCUAGCCAAAGACUGUGACAUAGAUGCUUCAGAGGAACUGAUAAAACCCGACAGCCUAACAAAUGUAGGAAGCUGAAGAAAGGAGCCAAAUACCAGAAUGAAUUAAUGGUGGAGUGAUAGGUGAAGCACAUUUGUGAAGGGAAACUCAUCAACCAAAUAUUUCCUAAACAAUUUUUAUAGAGUAGGUAUAAUACCAGGACUAUGGGCUCAGAGAUAAGGCAUGGCCAGUGCAUAGAAGAAAUUCGUAUUUUAGGUAAUGGGAACUUCAGAACUGUACAUCAUUACAUUAAAAUGUUAGAGGAUAAUAAAAAAUGUAUAGAAAUGUUGCCAAUACCUCUACUUCCACACCUAUUUGUAGUUUCUUUGCGUCAUUGCAUCACAAAAAGCCUCUUGUUUGAUAAAUGGACCAUUUCCUCCAUCUUGGAACAUUCUCUUCUGUCUUUUGUGUACUACAUUCUCCAGUUUCCACUUACAGUCACAACUUACAGUCUACUUCUCUAAUUGUAUCUUUUCAAUCUCUAUUAAAUUUAAACUCAUCUUCUGUUGUCAACUACUAAAUGUGAUUUCACUAAGGUUCCGUCCUGGGUUCAAUUCUCCAUUCUCUGAGGCAAUACCAUUCAACAUUUAGCUUUUUACAUACCACGGACACUCAGAUCUCUCUAGGCAGACUUCUCCCUCUACAACCCAUG
Molecule: long non-coding RNA, 1080 nt
Organism: Fukomys damarensis (Damara mole-rat)
Lineage: Eukaryota; Metazoa; Chordata; Mammalia; Rodentia; Bathyergidae
Exons: 3
Source: RefSeq, a predicted model, not a curated record